AUAUGAAGAUGGCUUUUUUGAUUGCCAAGCAAAAGAUCCAUCAACUAUUGAGAUGUUUAUUCGCUAUUUAAUCUUGUGAGUAUUAUUACUUGAGCAAAAUGUUGUUCUUGUUUUUCUUCUUUAUUGUGUUCAUGACGCGAUUAAAAUAUUCACCCAAAUGCUAAUAUAAUCAAGUAAUAGUUCUCAAAAAUUCUGGAGUUUUGUCUGUUGCCUCCUGGAUCUUCUUUCUUGAUGUGGAAUCUUCUUAUUGUUAUAAUAUUACUUGACAUCGUUUGCUAAUCUGUUUUUAUGUUGUUCGCACCACCCAUACUGCUCCUUUUGAGGAUCAAAGCCUAAUAAUAUCAAGCAAAUUGGCUGAGUCUCUGAUUUGCCCAGCUUUCUAAUGUAAAUUGUGAGGUUUCCCACUUGUCUACUAAUAAGUGGUAAAUAUAAUGCAUUUCCUGCUUCCCAGAUAUGAUGUUAUCUUCAUAGUUGCUUUCUGUUUUUACUUAUGCCGCAUCGUUAGGUAUUGGAUACUGCCUCCUAUUGCGCUCUAGUCUCUCUGGUCAGUAAAAGAAGUUUGGAAAAUGUCGGCAUGUGCCAUUUCCUGAAUCUUAGUCAUGCUUCCUAACAUUGUAUACCUUCGUGUUUAUUAUACACAGGUCUUUUGGUAUAUAUGACUGGAUAUGAUAGGAUUUCCAUUGUUAAUGCCAUUCAACCUGUUCAAUGUUUGUGUGUAAUGUCUUCAAGAUUUUUUUAUAGGGUCGACUUAUUGAACUAUUUUCAAUGCAAAAAUUUGGAAAAAAUUAGUUUCAAUCAUUGAAUUUAUCAAAGCGAAGUUAUACGAACAUUCAUCAAAUUUGCCUAAUUUGAAAUUAUACUGUGGUAACAAGAUAAAGAAAGGAACUGGAAUAUGAACUUUAACAGGGAAAAAAAGGAAAGGAAAUGAGCAGAGGGACAUGGAGAGAUCUGGAUUGUAGAUCAAUGGAAAGGGAAAUGGUCAAUGAACCGAUUGAAACCAUAAGUAGGUGGUGAUCACGUGGUUUUGCAGCUCAAUUGGAGGUGGAGAAAGGGAAGAAGAUGAAAUUGUAGUGCAACAAGAAUGAAAAGGGAACAGUGGGAUCACAGUGAGAAGGGCAUCGGGUUUGUCUUACAAGAAUGGACUUUGAUCCGUCUACCAAACAGCCCUUUACGGAAUCUCAUCCAUCAUCAAGCACCUUGCUACUUCAAUUCUGUUGCCUUAUUAUUUUUUGCACUGCUCUUUUAUUAUCCGUUGUUUCAGCUUUGAAACUCGGGGAUAAUGGGCCUGUCCUAAC
RNAcentral lists this long non-coding RNA (1295 nucleotides) under Nicotiana tabacum (common tobacco). Its description in RNAcentral is "long non-coding RNA (NTAB_LNC004559)". Lineage: Eukaryota; Viridiplantae; Streptophyta; Magnoliopsida; Solanales; Solanaceae. The record is from RNAcentral.